GGUCCAUCUAGUCAAAGCUAUGGUUUUUCCAGUAGUCACAUAUGGAUAUGAGAGUUGGACUAUAAAGAUAGCUGAGCACAGAAGAAUUGAUGCUUUUGAACUGUGGUGUUGGAGAAGACUCUUGAGAGUCCCUUGGACUGCAAGGAGAUCCAGCCAGUCCAUCCUCAAGGAAAUCAGUCCUGAAUAUUCAUUGGAAGGACUGAUACUGAAGCUGAAUUCCAAUCCUUUGGCCACCUGAUGUGAUGAACUGACUCAUUUAAAAAGACCCUGAUCUGGGAAAGAUUGAGGGCAGGAGGAGAAGGAGAUGACAGAGUAUGAGACGAUUUGAUGGCAUCACCAACUCAAUGGACAUGAGUCUGAGUAAACUCUGGGAGUUGGUGAUGGACAGGGAGGCCUGGCAUGCGACAGAACAUGAGGUUGCAAAGAGUUGGACACUACGGAGGGACUGAACUGAACUGAACAGGGGCAGCAAGGGGGACCAUGUGCUUCUGGUGAAGGAAUGAGUAGAGGCCAGGGUGGCGAUAAACAUGAGCUCAGGACAGUUCCCAACAAAGAACAGUCUAAAAUACCCAUAGCAAUGCUGUUGAGAAAAGUUCUAGAGGAAGCUGAUCCUUGACAGAUGAGCAGCAGCCUGGAGCUCUAUUUGAGAAGGAAGGAAAGCUUCACCACCAUAAAUCAGAGGUUCCUCUGCAAACUCCACAUAGCGUGUCUCAGGCCUGCGGAAGGUGGAGUUCGUUUGCUGGGACAGUCAAGUCCUUUGGGUUGGGUUAUUGAAUCAUUGGGAGGGAUGAAUUUGUGAACAUGCAUCCCUCCCAAGGCUGCCACUCUUGACAAAUGCUGCACUCAGCACUCAGGUCCCCACUGUGAAUAGACACUGUCUGUGCCACUCCUGGAGGGGCCUGUGCAGCCUGGAGCUGUUCCAAUAUUCCACAUCAUCAGCCUUCUAACUUCCCCGGGGUCAGCCAUUCCUUUUUGGACAGUACCCUUUCCCAGAAUUCAAACAUACAAAACCUUUCUCUUCUUCAAUAUAUUACAUGUUCUUCCCCCCUCCCCACCCCACCCACUCCUUUUAAUUAGACCCUGGAUGGAGUUCCAAAACAUUUAAAAUCAAG
This is a long non-coding RNA of Bos taurus (domestic cattle), 1112 nucleotides long. Lineage: Eukaryota; Metazoa; Chordata; Mammalia; Artiodactyla; Bovidae. The record is from Ensembl.